CACAAUUCAAACUUAUAAUUUACAUUGAUACAAAUCAAGGUACAAAGCCUCAAUAUACUCAAACUGGUUCAAGGCGUAUACAAUCCAAAUACAAAACAUUCUAUUCGAGGAAUAGCGCGAGUACAAGUCAAAAGUCAAAAGUCAAAAACAACUAGACUAUGCUAGUCUUUACAUGUCUCAUGCCUCGCUCGUACCUCCUGUAAGGAGAACAAAUAACGUGGUAUGAGCUAAAAGCCCAGUGAGGUUCCAAAUAGCAAAUUGACCAUUAUUUAUAAGUACAAGUUUUCGAUAUAGCAACGUAACGAGCAUGAAGAGUUCAUAAAAGUGAGCAAUAACACUUCAAGUAGCAAUCUCAAAAUGAGCGAGUGUAAAAGUUUUCAGAAGAAAUAAUAAUCCAAUAAACAGUAAUCAUUCCAAAGCAUAAGGAUACGGAUGGCUCUCAGGAGCCAACUUCCAUUCAUCAUCAGGAGCUUGAUCACGUAGUAGUUGACACUCCGUCAACUUUCAAGUAAAGGAACCAAUCCAGUAGAACACCACUUACACUACUCUCCGUCCACCAUUCACACCCCCUACUGGGCCCAAAAUUCUCAAUAAACACGGGUGGUAAUACUCGAGUAUACCGAUUAGUCGAGGAGAUAUCACUCCACUCGACAAAGCAAGAGACCCAGGGCUCGUUACCUAAUCGACCAAGCCCUUGCCGGCUCGACUAGAGUAACUCGUCUCAGGGUUUCUGGAAUUCCAGGAAGUGCGCACCUCAUAAACAAGUAUAUCAAGUCAAUUGCAAUCAAUAAACAAGUAUAUCACGUAAGGGCAAGUGCGAUAAAGUAUACUCUUGCCCUAUCAAUUCACGUAUAUAACAUGUACUCAUAUUGGUCAAAUAUCAAGUUCAAGUAUCUAGUGCAAUUCGGUAUUUGAAAGCACUCACCAAAAGAUAUAGUGCUUCUAGUAUUCACGUUCAGUUAUACUCCAGGUUUGGAGUCCAGAUCUGCGAUAAAAAUUCAAUUUGAGAACUUUGAAACAUGACUAAGAUUCAAAACUUAGACGUUUCAUUCAAUCAAAAUCAAGAAAUUGGAAUUCACUUGGAGAGUAGUCAUGAAACACUUGCUCGCCUCUUUAAACAGUAAAACUUUGUAAUAUGUAUACUUGAAAUUGUCCUGCGAGUUGAAAGUACAAGGAAAACAUACUUCGAGCAAUCAUUAUUUCAUUUCUCAAGGGUACAAGUUCGGCCAAAUCCUUACUUAUAUACCUCGAAACAAGAAGACUCAAGUACCCUAGAUGGUUCAAGUACUAUUCAUAUCAAUUCGACCCAAGUCGUAAGUGUAUUUAUAUAGUUCUCGAGCGUAAAUUCGGGCAGCAUGCCCUUUGUGUUUACCUAAUUUUCCAGCCAUUUAGGCUUCAUUAUUUUUCCUCAGCCACAACCCAAAGUCACACAUAUCAUAAUUCAAGUCAAAAGCCGUUCCAUAGGCUCACAACAUCAUAAGAAUAAGAAUCACAAUAAUCACAAGUGCAGAAAUACAAUCUAGUAAAAGACAGAUUCGACGUGUGGAUGCGGAAAUAACAUAUCCGAGGCUACACUUAUCGGAUUGAGGCGCAACCUAUGCCAUUUCGAAGCUAAGACACAGGGCUACAAUGUUCAUGAAGAUCACUUAGUCCAGUUUCUAAUGCAACUUAGUCAAAUCCUCAAAUUACAGAACCAAAAUCCAACUCGUCGGCUAUAAAACCGCAUUGUACUGUAAUGGUCAUAUUUCAGGUUACAAAAGUCCGAUUUAGGUGUUCUUAGAGGCGUUUGAAAUCUAAGUCAGAAUACUACAACUUUCAUGUUUUGGAAAAAAGCUAAAUCAGUACGGAUACUAGUGAAAAAACGUGAUAAACAGAACAAACUGACCAAACGGACUGCUAGGGAAAAACUUAAAACAGUAAGGGUAUUUUGGACUUUUCACGACCUACGUUGCUCCAAUUGAGUUGAAAUUUUGUAGGCACCUACAAAAUACCAUUAUAUACAACUUUCAUUCUUUGACAUAAGGCCAAUUCGGCCUCUAACAUGAGGUUACAAAAUCGGACAGAAUGGAAGCAGAAUUUUCCAGAAAUCUGGAAUUUUCAAUUUUUAAUGCAACCUUCCUCAAUUUCUUACUUCAAUCACUACCAAAACCCCUUAUACAAACUUAAUUGCAACAUAUAUGCAUCAUACAUCAAAUUGGCAGCAAGUCUCAAACCCUAGUUCAUCAUAUCAAAAAGGGGAAAACCUUCAAAACAUGAUAGUAUCCAUGAUUCCACCACAAAUUGAGUUACUAAGCUUAAUUUAAACAAGAUUGAAAGUAAAAAUUAGAGAGAUCAUCUUUCUUACCUUGAUUAGAGUUCACCAAGUAUAGCCUUAGCUUUCCCUUUCCAAAAUCUCACCAACAAUCACUAACUAAUCACUCAAAGGUAAGUUUAAUCGGUUUCUUUCUUUUGUUUUCUCACUUAGUAGCUUGAUUCAAGAAGAAAUGGAGGAGUUCCUCUCUUGUUCUUUCCCUCUCUCUCUCUCGGCUCUCCAGC
This 2535-nucleotide long non-coding RNA is filed under the name Coffea arabica (coffee). RNAcentral describes it as "long non-coding RNA (CARA_LNC007137)". The record is from RNAcentral. Lineage: Eukaryota; Viridiplantae; Streptophyta; Magnoliopsida; Gentianales; Rubiaceae.